UGGGCCCGUUCACGGGCGGGCCCCGCACUCCCGGGGCGUCUCGUUCUCAUCGCGAGAGGAGGCGCACCCAGAGCGUAUACGCUGGGACCCGAAAGAUGGUGAACUAUGCCUGGUCAGGACGAAGUCAGGGGAAACCCUGAUGGAGGUCCGUAGCGAUUCUGACGUGCAAAUCGAUCGUCGGAACUGGGUAUAGGGGCGAAAGACUAAUCGAACCUUCUAGUAGCUGGUUCCCUCCGAAGUUUCCCUCAGGAUAGCUGGCGCUCGCCUUUGCGAGUCUCAUUCGGUAAAGCGAAUGAUUAGAGGCAUUGGGGUCGAAACGGCCUCAACCUAUUCUCAAACUUUAAAUGGGUGAGAUCUCCGGCUUGCUUAAAGCAUGAAGCCGCGAGAUAUCGGAUCACAGAGUGCCAAGUGGGCCACUUUUGGUAAGCAGAACUGGCGCUGUGGGAUGAACCAAACGCAGAGUUAAAGCGCCAAAAUCGACGCUUAUGGGAUACCAUGAAAGGCGUUGGUAA
This 512-nucleotide ribosomal RNA is filed under the name Lepanus dichrous. Its description in RNAcentral is "partial large subunit ribosomal RNA". It matches the Rfam family "Eukaryotic large subunit ribosomal RNA", at positions 740 to 1230 of the family's 3401-position model. Lineage: Eukaryota; Metazoa; Arthropoda; Insecta; Coleoptera; Scarabaeidae. The record is from RNAcentral.